AACGAACGCUGGCGGCGUGCCUAACACAUGCAAGUCGUGCGAGAAAAGGGGGGCAACUCCCUGAGUAAAGCGGCGCACGGGUGAGUAACACGUAGGUAAUCUCCCCUCGAGCCUGGAAUA
RNAcentral lists this ribosomal RNA (120 nucleotides) under uncultured bacterium. RNAcentral's name for it is "partial 16S ribosomal RNA". It matches the Rfam family "Bacterial small subunit ribosomal RNA", at positions 29 to 145 of the family's 1533-position model. The record is from RNAcentral.